CUUUUCCCCUUCCUCCUUGGGCUAAGCCAGACCAGAAAGGGCCCCGUGCGCAACGUGCUUCACAAUCUCUCAGGGAAAGCGGCUAACGUGGCGCUACUCCGCCUCCCCUGUUCCUUACCCUUGGGGCGGCCGCCAUGUUUCCUGAACACAAAAUGGCGACACGUGAGGAAGACAAACAUAAAGAUGAAGUGCUUAAUUCAAGGUCACACAAUGUCGGGGAUGGACCUCCAGAUUUCCUUACUGGUGAGACGUGGUCUUGUAACACAGUGGUUAAGAAUGUGACUUUGGAGCCAGCCUGCUAGGGGCUGAAUUCUGACUCAGCCAUUUACUAACUGUGUGACCUUAGGUCACAGAAUUUUCCACACUCCUUGACAGAGGUGCUUAACCCUUAUCCAUCAGCAUUCUCAGACAGCACCUCCGGUUAGGGACAGUAUCUGACCGUCCGACAUCCCUGCAGCCCCCAUGUGUCACACAGACUCAGCCUCAGGUAGAUGGUUUCCGUAGAUGGUGGCUUUCUUUGGACCCUUGACAUCAACCAGUUACUAUUUGACUCUUCUGCAGAACCCCAUGUUGACCCCUGCUUUGAGGUGGCAGAGUUAACACUACUCUUCGUUAUAAGCUCUCGUCUGGGGCAACUCAGAAGAACGGGACCAGAUGUGCAGAGGUAAUGAAUACCAGGGAAUCAGGAAACCACUGGAUCAGUUCUUU
RNAcentral lists this long non-coding RNA (708 nucleotides) under Homo sapiens (human). Its description in RNAcentral is "PCBP1 antisense RNA 1". The record is from RNAcentral. Lineage: Eukaryota; Metazoa; Chordata; Mammalia; Primates; Hominidae.